UACGGAGGGUGCAAGCGUUGUCCGGAAUCACUGGGCGUAAAGGGCGCGUAGGCGGCUCAUGAAGGCUGUGGUGAAAGUCCGGGGCUCAACCUCGGAUCGGCCGUGGCGACUCGUGGGCUGGAGCACUGUAGAGGCGGGUGGAAUUCCGGGUGUAGCGGUGGAAUGGCGCAGAUAUCAGGAGGAACACCGAUGGCGAAGGC
RNAcentral lists this ribosomal RNA (200 nucleotides) under uncultured bacterium. RNAcentral's name for it is "partial 16S ribosomal RNA". It matches the Rfam family "Bacterial small subunit ribosomal RNA", at positions 524 to 722 of the family's 1533-position model. The record is from RNAcentral.